CGCCUUGCCAGCCCGCUCAGAAACUUAAAUGAAUUGACGGGGGCCCGCACAAGCGGCGGAGCAUGUGGAUUAAUUCGAUGCAACGCGAAGAACCUUACCUGGGUUUGACAUACACCGGAAAACCGUAGAGAUACGGUCCCCCUUGUGGUCGGUGUACAGGUGGUGCAUGGCUGUCGUCAGCUCGUGUCGUGAGAUGUUGGGUUAAGUCCCGCAACGAGCGCAACCCUUGUCUUAUGUUGCCAGCACGUGAUGGUGGGGACUCGUAAGAGACUGCCGGGGUCAACUCGGAGGAAGGUGGGGACGACGUCAAGUCAUCAUGCCCCUUAUGUCCAGGGCUUCACACAUGCUACAAUGGCCAGUACAGAGGGCUGCGAGACCGUGAGGUGGAGCGAAUCCCUUAAAGCUGGUCUCAGUUCGGAUCGGGGUCUGCAACUCGACCCCGUGAAGUCGGAGUCGCUAGUAAUCGCAGAUCAGCAACGCUGCGGUGAAUACGUUCCCGGGCCUU
RNAcentral lists this ribosomal RNA (505 nucleotides) under uncultured Rhodococcus sp. Its description in RNAcentral is "bacterial SSU rRNA". It matches the Rfam family "Bacterial small subunit ribosomal RNA", at positions 903 to 1382 of the family's 1533-position model. The record is from RNAcentral. Lineage: Bacteria; Bacillati; Actinomycetota; Actinomycetes; Mycobacteriales; Nocardiaceae.